AGCACUUCGAAACCAGAAGAGCCCUGAGUCUGGAGUACCGAUGAAGUGGUGGAUUGUCGUUGGCUCUGUCUUCGGUACAUAUUCAGCUCUCUCUAGGCCGGCAGCAGAGGGGAUGUCGGCUGUCGGAGCGCCCCUCAGCUUCCCGGUCCCGGCCAGAUCCGAAAUGAGAGAGCAGCCAUGCGGAACCGCGCGCGCCGCACAGUAGCAGAUGCACAGGGGCACAUCGCGUCAGAGCGCUAAGGGCUGGUGGAAGGGGAACAUCAUCUCUGUCCAGGACUCCCAUGGUCAGCAGGAAGGGGCCAGUCUUCUGGCUCCGUGGGUUUUGCACAUUGUUUUCCUGGGCUGGGCGUGCCAGGAGCAUGAAGAUGCCGGGUGGAGAGAGCCAGGAAUUCAGGGCCCAGCUGCACAGGGAGGGUGCACAUGAAACCGCAGUCAAAAGUGUGCGGAACGGUCUGGAGCUCAGAGGUAAAACUCCAACCCAGUGCAAAUGCAAGAUGACACACCGUAGCUGACCAAGGUAAAACACAGCUUCCUGUGUUCAUGACAAGGAUGCUCCUUUGCUCAGAUUAUCCCAUUAACGCCCCAGUGGGACUCCCCAGCCUCCUGCUCUAACUGGACACAAAGUAGGUGUCAUGAACAACUGAGGUAUAUUGCACAGUUUGCAUUGUUUCUGUGCUCCACUCCUUUCACCCCUACAUCCACAAGAGCUGAACUGUUUGAUAACAGGUUACACAGCUGAAACUAAACAAAUGAUUUUGCAGUCUUGGUAAAGGGACACACCCAGCCCUUGUGUUUCGAUGACUGCUCAGGUAAGAAAUCAGGUAAAGGUGGCAGUUUUCUGGUUUCAUGUGGCAUUUUCUUAAUAUUUUAAUUGUGUGGCAAGACAUGGGCAUGGAGACUGAGACAAAAAGAAUUGAUUUCCAAUCUUCUUUAUGUAUACCUCCCUGGAACAUUUGUAAAUUGUCAUUUCUUCUCUUGGUUUGCUAUUGAAAUCAGGAUUCGUUUUUUUAAUAGAUUUUUUUAAUUUGUUGCCUACAAUCAGAACUAUUUGUUCCCAAGAUGGUGGGAAGUCAUUGUUUAGAAAAAUACAUGCAUCAUUUUACUCAGAGCAGUGUUUUGAGUCAUCUUUGCAAAAAAAACAAGAGAGUAAGCACAUGCACUAGCCACCCCAGUAUGUGUCAAUGACAGCACUGCCUUGAAUUGUUUUAAUUGUAAGUGUUUACACUCUUUGUGCUGUGUGUGGUGCCUGUGCCUUGCAGAUGUAUGCAGGGGUCUGUCCAGACUAAACCCUGUGUUUCCAGUGCUUCUACUGGAAGAAGCAGCUUUCACAACAAGUCAAUAUCCUCCAAAUCCAUAAUUACAUUAAUUUGCCACCCGGACCAGCAAAAACGGACAUGAAAGAAUCCUAAGAAAACAAGGGAAAUAGUUGGAAUCCAAAACUUUAGCCGUACC
Molecule: long non-coding RNA, 1452 nt
Filed under: Lepisosteus oculatus (spotted gar)
Lineage: Eukaryota; Metazoa; Chordata; Actinopteri; Semionotiformes; Lepisosteidae
Description: lncRNA (ENSLOCG00000022336.1)
Source: RNAcentral